GACGAACGCUGGCGGCGUGCCUAAUACAUGCAAGUAGAACGCUGAAGGCGGAGCUUGCUUCUCUGGAUGAGUUGCGAACGGGUGAGUAACGCGUAGGUAACCUGCCUGGUAGCGGGGGAUAACUAUUGGAAACGAUAGCUAAUACCGCAUAACAGUAGAUAUCGCAUGAUAUCUACUUGAAAGGUGCAAUUGCAUCACUACCAGAUGGACCUGCGUUGUAUUAGCUAGUUGGUGAGGUAACGGCUCACCAAGGCGACGAUACAUAGCCGACCUGAGAGGGUGAGCGGCCACACUGGGACUGAGACACGGCCCAGACUCCUACGGGAGGCAGCAGGAGGGAAGCUUCGGCAAUGGACGGAAGGCUGACCGAGCAACGCCGCGUGAGUGAAGAAGGUUGUCGGAUCGUAAAGCUCUGUUGUAAGAGAAGAACGAGUGUGAGAGUGGAAAGUUCACACUGUGACGGUAUCUUAACAGAAAGGGACGGCUAACUACGUG
This 495-nucleotide ribosomal RNA is filed under the name uncultured bacterium. Its description in RNAcentral is "partial 16S ribosomal RNA". It matches the Rfam family "Bacterial small subunit ribosomal RNA", at positions 28 to 507 of the family's 1533-position model. The record is from RNAcentral.